This 384-nucleotide RNase P RNA is filed under the name Prevotella amnii. RNAcentral's name for it is "RNase P RNA component class A". It matches the Rfam family "Bacterial RNase P class A". From Rfam's summary of the family: Ribonuclease P (RNase P) is a ubiquitous endoribonuclease, found in archaea, bacteria and eukarya as well as chloroplasts and mitochondria. Its best characterised activity is the generation of mature 5'-ends of tRNAs by cleaving the 5'-leader elements of precursor-tRNAs. Cellular RNase Ps are ribonucleoproteins. RNAcentral also lists the same sequence under 1 other name. The record is from RNAcentral. Lineage: Bacteria; Pseudomonadati; Bacteroidota; Bacteroidia; Bacteroidales; Prevotellaceae.
GCAGUGUUCUGGCUCUGUCGCUGGCACAUUAUAAUGUGCGAGAGGAAAGUCCGGGCAGCAUAGGGCGUCCUGCUUCCGAAAAUAGAAGCUAUUGGUAACAGUAGAUGUAGGCAGAAGAAAAAACCGCCAUUCUAAAGAAUUGGUAAGGGUGAGAAGGUGGUGUAAGAGACUACCAGCAGUUGGGUGAUCAGCUGGCUGUGCCGUUCAGGAGCUGCAAGUUCAUGUAAACCGUUGUUAGAGGAUAGUCCCGUCCAAGUCUGUAGACACAACGGAGGGUAGAAUGCUAGAGCUAUGGAGCAAUCCAUAGAGUAGAUAAAUGACAGGCAUAUUGCAUAUUAAAAGAUAUGUAAUACACAGAACCCGGCUUAUAGGAGCACUGCUUUU